UACAGAGGGUGCAAGCGUUGUUCGGAAUUAUUGGGCGUAAAGCGCGUGUAGGCGGCAUUGCAAGUCGGGUGUGAAAGCCCUCAGCUCAACUGAGGAAGUGCGCCCGAAACUGCUUUGCUUGAGUGCCAGAGAGGGUGGCGGAAUUCCCCAAGUAGAGGUGAAAUUCGUAGAUAUGGGGAGGAACACCGGUGGCGAAGGCGGCCACCUGGAUGGUAACUGACGCUGAGACGCGAAAGCGUGGGUAGCAAACAGGAUUAGAUACCCUGGUAGUCCACGCCGUAAACGAUGAGAACUAGGUGUCGUGGGUGUUGACCCCCGCGGUGCCGUCGCUAACGCAUUAAGUUCUCCGCCUGGGAAGUACGGCCGCAAGGCUAAA
RNAcentral lists this ribosomal RNA (376 nucleotides) under uncultured bacterium. RNAcentral's name for it is "bacterial SSU rRNA". It matches the Rfam family "Bacterial small subunit ribosomal RNA", at positions 524 to 898 of the family's 1533-position model. The record is from RNAcentral.